This 965-nucleotide long non-coding RNA is filed under the name Homo sapiens (human). RNAcentral describes it as "HSALNT0298283". The record is from RNAcentral. Lineage: Eukaryota; Metazoa; Chordata; Mammalia; Primates; Hominidae.
CUGUACUGAGUUUAGUUUUGCUAAUAAUGGUAUUCUACGUGUGUCAGCCUCGUGUGGACUUCUGUAAUGACUAAUGGAUAUGUUUAUAUCCUGAGCAUUUGCUGUAGGAAUUUUAAAUGCAAUCCCAAAACUCAAGAUUACCUUAUUUGGAGAAAUAUUCGUGUUACUAUGUUUAAAAUUUAAUAGAACCAUAUUUUACCUUUCACUUUGGGACUCGCACAGGAUGUUUGCAGCUCUUGAUAUACAGGAACUAGAACGUGUCUUUUAAGAGCAUGCGGUUUUAUAAUUACGUGGAAGUAUGCUACGCAAGGGAAAAAAGCCUCUUGCUAGUGUUAAGGGUCUUCAUAAACAGAAACCGCAAGGAACCUGGGAUCUGACAGCUGUUGGAGGAAUGCCUGUGAGGAAGGAGGAGGAACAGAAGAAUGCUUUGAUGUCUUAAAUGGUACAUCCAAACUUAAGUGAAAUAGAGCUGUGAGGACAUUUUGGGGAGAAGUGACCUAGAUAAGCACUGACUGUUGCAUUCAUCUCUCUUCUUGCUGAUUGUGAUGAUUUCCUGUGCCAUAGCCAUUCAAAGUCUGCCAAAAAAGAGAUGGGAUUUUGCCAUGUUGCCUAGGCUGGUCUCAAACUCCUGAGCUCAAGUGAUCUGUCCACCUUGGCCUUCCUGUGAUUACAGGUGUGAGCCACUGUGCCCACCAACUGACCAUUACAUCUUUAUGGUUUUCUUCCAAAAGCAAUCUGAAGAAUUUUGGGAUUACAGCUUUUAUUGUUAUUAAGGUAUAGCUUAUGCAUUAAAUAAUUUCUUCUUUUACUGUGUGUGUAUACGUGUUUGUGUAUGUGUGUGUUUAAAUAUGGAUGAUAAAAAUCAGCUGUAGCACUUAAAACAGUGAUGUCUGUAAAUACCUUGGACCUAAAUACUACCUAACUAGCGUAGGAAAUUUAUCCCCAAAAGUGAGAAUGAUCAGUCC